RNAcentral lists this long non-coding RNA (1837 nucleotides) under Homo sapiens (human). RNAcentral's name for it is "non-protein coding lnc-F13A1-2:3". The record is from RNAcentral. Lineage: Eukaryota; Metazoa; Chordata; Mammalia; Primates; Hominidae.
GGCUCCCAGCCGGUAAUGGGAGGCCUGGAGGGGGAUGGACUUUAAAAAGGAAGCAGAAAGGCCAGGAGGACGAGCUUCACUGGAGGUGGGUAAGUUUUGUUUCAGACCUGUAGGGCUGAAAGUGUUGACGAACACCUGGGAGAAAAUGUCCAGUCACCGUCACUGCAAAUGCGGGUCCGACCUUCAGGAGAGGGAUUUGGACUGAAGAUGUGGGUAGGAGCACCCUCUCUUAGACAAGAAAAAUUGAGACUAAGAGGAGAUGAGAUCGCUGGGGGAUCAUAAUUAAGUAAAAACUUGUAUCUCUAAAAUCCGUCCUGACAUUUUCAUUUAUAGGAUAUACAUAUGUAUGUAUCUGUUAUAAUCUGAAAUGUGUCCCUCAAAAUUCAUAUUUGAAGCCCUAACCUCCUCAUACCUCAGACUGGGACUGUAUUUGGAGAUGAGGCCUUUAAAAAGAUAAUUAAGGUAAAACGAAGGCAUUAGAAUGGGCUCUAAUCCAAUAUGUCAGGAGUCCUUAUAGGAAGAGGAGAUGAGGACACAGACACCCACAGAGGGAAGACGGUGUGAGGACACAGGGAGAGGACACCAUCUGCAAGCCCAGGAGGGAGGCCUCAGGAGAAACCAAUCCCGCCCACACCUGGAUGUGGGGCUUCCAGCCCCCAGCACUGCGAGGGAAUAAAGCUCCGUUGUGUAAGCUGCCGCAUCUGUGGUAUUUUAUUAUGGCAGCCCCAGCUACUAAUACAGUACCCCUACCGAUACAUACAUAUUUACCCACAUGUAGCCACACACAUGUGCACAUAUGUAAUCUUUUUGCCUAUAAAAAAGUAAGCAAUGCCUAAAAGUACAGGUGGAGAGAAGGCUAAAAAGCACAGGCUCGAAGAGACUGCCAAGAUACAACGAUCCAACAAAGACACAUCGUAUCAACAGUAAUGAUUUCCUAAAUGUGAAGGUAAUUUGGAUGGCUGGUUUAUAGUUUUCAUGCCCGGGAGUUUUCCAAGGCACAAUGUAUACCCUUUGCGGCAGCUUACUCUCCUGAAAUGUGCCUUCAUGAAAUUAGAUAAACAGGGAGAAGAUAUGAAGUACAUCUGCCUAACACCACGUUAGAAGAAUCCCCGGGCAUUUGCAUCUUAUGCGAUGAUAUGCUGGCAAACCUUGGCCAACUUCCAGUCUUGUCCUUAUGACAGGGGACUGCUGUGUUGAGUUCCCGUCUCAGGCCUCACAUCCACCUUGGCCCUGCCUUGGGAGCCUGUAGGUGUGGGCAGAAAAGAGGGACGCUGCCUUCCUGGCUGGGCCUUUCUUCACACACAGGCACGAGGACCCAAGCUCUAAAGGAUGAAGUCCCCAUGGUCUCCGAAGUUUUCAUUAUCAUCCCCCUCCUAAAGCUCCACCUUGGAGGCAAUGCACUGUAACAAAAGGACCAGCACAGUGCCCAGCACACAGAAAGCUAUCAAUCAAUGUCAGCCUUAACCAUUAUGUUGGUUGACUUGCCAUCCCUCUUCCUCAACUGCAAACUAUGUGAGAGAAAGAUUCAUGUAACCUUGGUAUUACACAACUCCAUCGUGGUGGGUUCAGUUGCAUUUGUCAAAUGAUUCAGAGUAGGACAACGGGAAUUUUCUUUACAACAUCACAGCAUUGUAAAGUCUUUGCUUUGCACGAAAGUGUGGGACUGAAGAAAUGAUUGUGCAGGUUGAAACUGUGAAGCAAUUUUAAGAAGCAACAAGGAAAAUUAUGAUUGUUUCAUAAUCUUCAAAAAAUUUUUAAAGUGUUAAGAACUGUUUUACUACUGGUCGUAAAUGUAUAAGAACAUUUAAAGAUAGCAAAUUGAAUACUUAUUUAGCCU